Molecule: non-coding RNA, 1227 nt
Organism: Chrysemys picta bellii (western painted turtle)
Lineage: Eukaryota; Metazoa; Chordata; Testudines; Emydidae
Source: RefSeq, a predicted model, not a curated record
GACCCAUGAAGAAAAUGUUAGGAAAGCUGCAGAGUUGGACGAGGAAGGGAAACUAUCAUUGCCUUUUUUUAUGCAUCCUUCCAUAAUACUGGACUCAGCCCCAGAAGCAAGGGGGAUUCUUCUUUGAAGAUGAUGCUGAAUAGCUGUAGAAAAGAGAAAUCUUUGAGGCCAUCAUCUUGUCUGACAUCAGAGACUGAACUGGAGAUAUCCACAGCUAGAAGAAUAAGUCUCCACAAGUAGUGGUGAAGAGCCAGGCACUCAAGAUGACAGCAGUAAAAAGACUCCCAUCCUCUAUGGAUCAGGUGGUCAGGGGGACAGAUGAGCAAACUGAAGCAAGAAGUGGUUACACGACUGUCUCAAGGUCAGCAAGUCAGGGGCAGCCUCAAGAACAAAACCGAAGUGUCCUGGCUCUCAUUUCAUUGCAUUAACAAAUAGAAAACAACGCCACAUUUUGAUUGCCUCAUACUUAAUCAUUAGUAUAUGCCAUACCACGAGAGUUAGCCACAUUAAUUCUGUCGAAUAUAUAAAAAGUAAGAGCAAAAAUAACUUUAACAAAAAUGGAAGAAAUAGGCAUUUCUUGUUUUUUUUCCAAAUGACUGAAAUUUCUAAUAUACUGAACUGCUUAAUGAUUCACUGAACUCUGUUUGAUUUGAAAGACAGAAAGUCUAAGAGAUUUAAAGUACUGUUCUUUUUGAGCAGCAAUUACUUGGCGAUUUAAUCAGCUAUGCAUUUACCAAAAAAAAAAAAAAAGUAGAAGCUAUUUUACGUAGGAGAACAAAAUGACUCACUAAAUGAACCUUCACCACAGGGAAAAAAUCCAUAUUACCAUCAAAGUAGUGAACGUGAUUCAAAGAAAUAUGCAAUGAGACUUGACAGUGAAGAUUUGUGGGCUGGAAAGUCACCUAAGUUCAUUCUGCAGCCUUCAGCCAAAGAAGAUCUAAUGCUUGAUUGUACUGUCAGAUAUGAAGGUUGUAUUGCAGUUGCUGGAGAUAUGGAGAUGUGUGGAGCAUGAGGAUGCAGAUCUGUAUAUUAACCUUUUUGUGUCUUGUCCACUUGUAAUUCUAGUACCAGCUUUUAACUCAGAGUGUUGGAAUUUACCAAUAACAACAGCUUCUGCUGUAGUUGCUAGUUGUGAUAAAAUUACAUUGGCUGCUAAGUCUCAUGGUUGGGGAAGAAAUCUGACCCACAGUAAAGCUGGGUAAAUAAAGAAAAAGUGCAUCAAAUACC